Molecule: unclassified non-coding RNA, 273 nt
Filed under: uncultured fungus
Lineage: Eukaryota; Fungi
Also listed under: 1 other name
Description: partial contains 5.8S ribosomal RNA, internal transcribed spacer 2, and large subunit ribosomal RNA
Rfam family: 5.8S ribosomal RNA (bases 1-52)
Source: RNAcentral
AACGCACAUUGCGCCCUUUGGUAUUCCGAAGGGCAUGCCUGUUCGAGCGUCAUUAUCACCCCUCAAGCCCCCGGGCUUGGUGUUGGACGGCCGGUGGAGGCUUUCGAGCCUCUACCCCUCCUAAAGACAAUGACGGCGGCCUCGCAGGAACCCCCGGUACACUGAGUUCUUUGACUGGACACGUACUGGAUCAGGGCGCCCGAGGACCCGGUCACAAACCCAUUUAUUUUCUAGGUUGACCUCGGAUCAGGUAGGGAUACCCGCUGAACUUAA